Long non-coding RNA from Rosa chinensis, 630 nucleotides. RefSeq lists it as uncharacterized. The record is from RefSeq and is a predicted model, not a curated record. The transcript has 5 exons. NCBI's taxonomy places the organism in Eukaryota, Viridiplantae, Streptophyta, Magnoliopsida, Rosales, Rosaceae.
UUGUAGGAGGCUUUCUCUCUCUGCGAUCAAAAGGUUAUUGAGCUGGUCGACAAUCCUUCUAUACUGCAAAUCGAUAUGGUUUGGUGUUAUUUCAUGCUUAGAGACAUCAACUGGCUCUCAGUGGCAGGAAUUCGCCUUGAGAAAGCCAGAGAAGGUCUUGAACAAGCUCAUGGAAGGACUCUUCUCUCGUGUUAGACUCCUUCAGGCAGGUCGCUAUCCAGAGUGUGCACUAUAUUUGAGACUGGAGCUGCGGGAACGGUGGUGGCGUAUCACAGUGGUCAGGUUGAUAAGUCAAUGAAGGUGUUGACUUCUGCACAAGAUUCACCCAGGAGAAGUAAACGACAGCGCCAAGCAGUAGAUGCUUCAGUUGAAGCUCUUGUACGCAUGGGCUUUGACAGAUCAUUAGCGGUCGAAGCUUUGCUGGGUGGAGGGAGAACGGACCAAACAAUCUGUCGACUGCUCUCGGGACAGGCACCAAACCUCACAAAUGCUGCUAACCAAUCUGAGGCAAUUUCUGCAGUCGAUGCUAACAACAAUAGCCAACACUACUAGAAUUAUGGCCUCAGACAUCGGCCAAAAACCGAUGAGAAAAAGAAUUCCGACCGAUGUGUUAGUGGGUGAUGAGAAAGG